CGGAUGAACGCUAGCGACAGGCUUAACACAUGCAAGUCGAGGGCAGCAUAAAAGUAGCAAUACGUUUGGUGGCGACCGGCGCACGGGUGAGUAACGCGUAUGCAACCUACCUAUCAGGAGGGGACUAACCCGGCGAAAGUCGGACUAAUACCGCAUAAAACAGGGGCACCGCAUGGUGAUAUUUGUUAAAAAUUUAUUGCUGAUAGAUGGGCAUGCGUUCCAUUAGGUAGUUGGAGAGGUAACGGCUCACCAAGACAUCGAUCAUUAGGGGUUCUGAGAGGAAGGUCCCCCACACUGGUACUGAGACACGGACCAGACUCCUACGGGAGGCAGCAGUGAGGAAUAUUGGUCAAUGGGCGAGAGCCUGAACCAGCCAAGUCGCGUGAAGGAAGACGGUUCUAUGGAUUGUAAACUUCUUUUGUAAGGGAAUAAAGUUCACUACGUGUAGUGUUUUGUAUGUACUGUAUGAAUAAGGAUCGGCUAACUCCGUG
Molecule: ribosomal RNA, 491 nt
Filed under: uncultured bacterium
Lineage: Bacteria
Description: bacterial SSU rRNA
Rfam family: Bacterial small subunit ribosomal RNA
Source: RNAcentral